This 459-nucleotide ribosomal RNA is filed under the name uncultured bacterium. RNAcentral's name for it is "partial 16S ribosomal RNA". It matches the Rfam family "Bacterial small subunit ribosomal RNA", at positions 338 to 795 of the family's 1533-position model. The record is from RNAcentral.
CCUACGGGAGGCAGCAGUGAGGAAUAUUGAUCAAUGGUCGGGAGACUGAACCAGCCAAGCCGCGUGAGGGAGGAAGGUACAGAGUAUCGUAAACCUCUUUUGUCAGGGAACAAAGACUGGGACGCGUCCCCGGAUGAGUGUACCUGAAGAAAAAGCAUCGGCUAACUCCGUGCCAGCAGCCGCGGUAAUACGGAGGAGGCGAGCGUUAUCCGGUUUGAUGGGGUUUAAAGGGUGCGCAGGCGGUCUGUUCAGUCAGCGGUCAAAGCCCGGGGCUCAACCCCGGCCCGCCGUUGAAACUGGCAGUCGCGAGUUGGAGAGAAGUAUGCGGAAUGCGCGGUGUAGCGGUGAAAUGCAUAGAUAUCGCGCAGAACUCCGAUUGCGAAGGCAGCAUGCCGGCUCCACACUGACGCUGAGGCACGAAAGCGUGGGUAUCGAACAGGAUUAGAUACCCUUGUAGUC